GAUGAAGAACGCAGCGAAAUGCGAUAAGUAGUGUGAAUUGCAGAAUUUAGUGAAUCAUCGAAUCUUUGAACGCACAUUGCGCCCUUUGGUAUUCCUUAGGGCAUGCCUGUUCGAGCGUCAUCUACACCCUCAAGCACAGCUUGGUGAUGGGCGCCUGUCCCGCCCCCCACGGGGGCGCGGACUCGCCUCAAAUGCAUUGGCGGCCGGCGACCUGGCUUCGAGCGCAGCAGAAACGCGUACUCGGGGAGCGGGCGCCCGCUCCCAGAAGCCAACCCACCCAGUUUGACCUCGGAUCAGGUAGGGAUACCCGCUGAACUUAAGCAUAUCAAUAAGCGGAGGA
RNAcentral lists this unclassified non-coding RNA (340 nucleotides) under soil metagenome. RNAcentral describes it as "partial contains 5.8S ribosomal RNA, internal transcribed spacer 2, and large subunit ribosomal RNA". The stretch from base 1 to 120 matches the Rfam family "5.8S ribosomal RNA", at positions 35 to 154 of the family's 154-position model. The record is from RNAcentral.